Molecule: long non-coding RNA, 197 nt
Filed under: Rhinopithecus roxellana (golden snub-nosed monkey)
Lineage: Eukaryota; Metazoa; Chordata; Mammalia; Primates; Cercopithecidae
Description: lncRNA (ENSRROG00000045894.1)
Source: RNAcentral
GUAUGGUGCUGGGUGCAGAUGCGAUGUGGCUCUCGAUAGCACCUUAUGGACAGUUGUGUCCCAAAGGAGGGAUGACAAUAGCUACUGAAGUCCUAAAGAGCAAGCCUAACUCAAGCCAUUGGCAUACAGGCAUUAGACAGAAAACUAGAAGUUGAAAUGGUGGAGUCCAACUUGUCUGGACCAGCUUUAUGUUUCUG